This 566-nucleotide long non-coding RNA is filed under the name Homo sapiens (human). Its description in RNAcentral is "HSALNT0096188". Lineage: Eukaryota; Metazoa; Chordata; Mammalia; Primates; Hominidae. The record is from RNAcentral.
UCCUGGUCUCUGGUGGGGCUGGUUUCUGGUGGGGCUGGUCUCUGGUGGGGUUGGUCUGUCUCUGGUGGGUUUGGUCUGUCUCUGGUGGGGUUGGUCUCGUCUGGUGGGGUUUGGUCUCUGGUGGGGCUGGUCUCUGGUGUGGUUGGUCUCUGGUGGGGUUGGUCUGUCUCUGGUGGGGUUGGUCUGUCUCUGGUGGGGUUGGUCUCUGGUGGGGUUUGGUCUCUGGUGGGGUUGGUCUGUCUCGGGGCUGGUCUCUGGUGGGGUUGGGCUCUGGUGGGGUUGGGCUCUGCUGGCGCUGGUCUCUGGUGCGGUUGGUCUGUCUCUAGUGCGGUUGGUCUGUCUUUGGUGGGGUUUGGUCUCUGGUGGGGUUGGUCUCUAGUGGGGUUGGUCUCUGGUGGGGUUGGGCUCUGGUGGGGUUGGUCUCUGGUAGGGCUGGUCUCUGGUGGGGUUGGUCUGUCUCUGGUGGGGUUGGUCUCUGGUGGGGUUUGGUCUCUGGUGGGGCUGGUCUCUGGUGGGGUUGGUCUCUGGUGGGGUUGAUCUCUGGAGGAGUUGGUCUCUGGUGGGGC